Unclassified non-coding RNA from Erinaceus europaeus (western European hedgehog), 348 nucleotides. Its record names the gene 7SK. It matches the Rfam family "7SK RNA". Rfam says of the family: 7SK was discovered as an abundant small nuclear RNA in the mid-70s but a possible function has only recently been suggested. Two independent studies have found that 7SK RNA binds the CDK9/cyclin T complex (known as elongation factor P-TEFb). P-TEFb activates transcription by phosphorylating the C-terminal domain of RNA polymerase II. Lineage: Eukaryota; Metazoa; Chordata; Mammalia; Eulipotyphla; Erinaceidae. The record is from Ensembl.
GGAUGUGAGGGCGACCUGGCUGCGAUAUCUGUCACCCCAUUGAUUGCCAGGGUUGAUUUGGCUGAUCUGGCUGGCUAGGCAGGUGUCCCCUUCCUCUCUCACUGCUCCAUGUGUGUCCCUCCCUAAGAUGUGGGUUAGGUCGAAGAGGACAGCCUUCCCCGAAUAGAGAUGGACUGGUCUUCAGUCAAGGGUAUAUGAGUAGCUUCACUCCCCUGCUAGAAUCUCCAAACAAGCUCUCAUUCUUCUGCAUGUUUCAACCCAGUUUUCCCAGCACCAUUUAUUGAAGAGAGCCCCCUUCUUCCAUUUAAUACUUUGGGCCUCCUUAUCAAAGAUUAGAUGUCCAUAGGU